GGUGGCCUGGCUCGCGAGCGAGGACUGCUCGUUCUCGACCGGAGCGGUGUUCGACCUGUCGGGCGGCCGC
This 70-nucleotide transfer RNA is filed under the name Burkholderiales bacterium. RNAcentral's name for it is "tRNA-Ser". Lineage: Bacteria; Pseudomonadati; Pseudomonadota; Betaproteobacteria; Burkholderiales. The record is from RNAcentral.